GUCAAUCCAAAUACAACUCAAAGUCUGAAAAUACAACUGAUAAUCCAAAAGGAACACAAGUAUAUCUCAAAAUACAAAGUAAGACAAACUAGAUAGGAUGGGGUCGGAGGUCGACUCUAGAAACAUAGAGCGCCCACUCCCUCACCGCUCGGACUUAGCUGCCAUGUGGCGCACUCAUACGUAGAUCUGCACCGAAAGAAAACUGUCGGAAUGAGUACAGUUCACUUGUACUCAGUAUGUAUUAUAGGCCGACAGAGCAAACUAGAAAAUAAGGUAUAUAAAUACACACUAUGAACACGUCACCUGUAAGCAGAAAAUGUCCCAAAUGAUAGCUUCUACCAUCUCCACUACAAUUCUAAAUAUAGCACAUAAACAGGACAAAAGGUACGUAAAAGAAACAAAAAAGGCAUGCAUCAGAUAAAAAUAUAGAAACACAACAUUGAAGAUGCAUAAAUAAAUUAAUUCAAUAUGUGUGAUAACGAUGAUGAUAUGAUAUGAUCAAGGUUAUCACAUAACCUCCGUAUAAAACUACUGAGAGUUAGUGAUUUCUAGUAGGACCUAAGGGGGGUUCUCAACUUACAUAUAAUCUCAAUAUUCAAUCACCAGUCUCAAUAUCCAUAUCUCCUCUCCAAUACGUGGGCUAGGAUAGAUGAUUUUGUAAAAAUGUCUCUUUUCUGUCAAAAAUCAGUAUCUCCAUAAUGGUACCAAUAUAUCAUGAAUGUAUUUAUGAUAUGAGGAUGUAAAACUUACCACCAAAUCAGUAUGAAAAACUCAACCCAACCAAUAUAGACGCACACGAUCUCAAAAUCCACUCAAUAUGUCUAAAAUCCAUUAUUCAAUAUAAGCCACAUACCAGUAGACCAAAAUAUACAAAUAGGAUAUCAUUAAUAUCACAUUAAUUCCAAUUUAGGAAUUUUAUAUCAUGAAGAAACCAACCAUAGGUGUACACAAGGCCAACAAUAUCAGAUAAAGCCUCCACACAAGCCACACAUAGCAGAUAUCACUUCAGAUCGCCAAUAAUAACAACUUAAGCCCUCAUAUAGACAUACAACAGUAAUAAUAUUAUUUACAUAUUUAUUUAUCAUACUCAUAGCAUAAUUUUAUUUAAAUAUUAACUAUCCAAGACUAAAGAACUUUAAGCCAUAAUCUACGAGAAACGAUGAAAUCCAGGCCAAAAGCCCUUCAUAUAAAAGAGUGUUUCUAUUUGCCCUUGUACUUGCACUUGAAGUAAUGUUGCUAUUUGGAUUGCGACAUUUUAUUAUUCCUUGAUGCCAAUCUUCUUCGCCUUUGGAUAAUAUUAAAGGAUAUUGAAGGGGAUCAUAAUAUCUGUAUUAAUGCUUAUAUCUGUAUUAAUGCUUAACUCGAUGUGUGUUCUCUGAGUGUUCAUGAAUAGCAGUGUCUCUUUCAAAUGACACGUUUAGAUUGUUACCGUCUAUCCAAAUUGCUGCCACUUGAUCCACUAUUGGUUUGUUGUACACAUUGAUCCAAUGAAGCAUUUGCAGCUAUACAUAUUUCUAAAUUUUGUAAACUUGUAUGGUCUUUAAGGUGUGAAAAGAAUUGUGCAUAUGGAUUUCGGUCCAUUAUUUUUCUGAUUUUCCCCAUCACUUUCUCUGAUAAAGUUGUGUCUUAGAGUAUUGACGUUUUGUUUGCCAGUUUAUAAUCUGUACCAUAGAAGCAUAGCUGAAAGUGACGUGGCACUUUUGGGACCAAUGAUGGUAGAUGAUGAUAUACUUGUCCUUGUGUCUUAAAACUGUAAACUCCCUUCCUGGAAGAUGCUAGUUUUGGAUCGACCUUUAUUCUAAAUGACGUAAAAGCAAAAAAGGCUAUUCUAGGCUUUUACAUUUUUUCUGAAUAACUUGCCUUCUUCCGACUCAUCAAUAAAUAAUGCAUAUAAGUCAUCUAGAACUUCGUUGUCUGCUAACUUAAUAUAUCCACUUCCACAACAAAAUUUUGGUGUCUUAUAGUCAAACCUCUUGGCAUAACAGAAGAUGCAAUUAGGUUUCUUUUCCAGCUUAUGAAUAGAUGAUGUAGAUAUAUUUGUAAUAGUUUCUCCUAAAUUCCCAAUUGAAAGUAUAUUAUGUUUUAGUAGAGGAUAAUAUUUUAGUGAUACAACUUAAACGCUGCAAACUUAAUGUAUAAUGAAUUUUAGCAAAAUUACCUCUAUUAUCAUCCUCAUAUGAUAAAACAUUUUCUAUCCAAUUUCUUUUUCACUUCUUCUGUUGUGAUUGUUCAAUGUGUCCAUCUCCCAAUGGUUGAGUAGCGGCAAAGGUAACAAGGUCCUUUCUACAUCAGUCAUUCCUCUAUGUUUGUGUCCUAUCAAUUAUGUAAUGUGAUCAUGUUGGUAAUGUGUAAACAAUAAUUGAUUUGACGCUUCACUAUAAAAGAAACACUUUAUCUUUUGUUAAGCUUACCUAUUAUUUUAUGAUGUGAUUAUCUUGAAAUUCCAUGAUAAAUUUCCUGCGUUCAAUGAAACAGUAAGUUAUUUCAUAUGUGUAAUACCCUGAUCAUUCCUUAAGCCUAAAUUCGUCUUCUGAGUGAGUAUGGGUGACUUCCAAAGUGAUUUAUGUUUAAACUGUGUGGUAUUUCUCUAAUUUCUACUUUUUUUCAUGUGGAGAAUUGAAUAAGCUUUCCAUCGAUAUCAAAUUCACCCAAAUCUGACACUCGGGUGAAGAGUUAGAGCCAUUUUAGUGAGACAGUGUCCCAACUGACACUUCAGCGUGCCGCAGAGCCAGCCAAAAUGACAAUUGUCAUUUUUCAGUGAUCCUCCGUGAUUUCACCGCAUCACGCCAAGGCUCAAUUUCUGGAUUGUCAAUUUCCAGUGCACCAACGCGAUUCCUCCGCAUCGCGGUGCCCUUCCAGGUCACGACCAAGUGGCAAAAAUGACUUCACCAUGUCACGCCACUGAACCAUUUCCCAAUUGUCAAAAUACAUUGAAGAUCCACGAUUGUAGCGCGUCACGCUAGGACCAAAAAUCAGGCUCCAGUCUAGAAUUUUCUCAAGGGUAAUUUGGUCUUUUCUGCCCAUUUUGCUCUCUCUCUCUCUAUAUUCUAGUAGAGGAGAGAAAACCCAUUUUUCUCUCCAUUCCAAAAAUUAAAAUAAAAUCUAGGGUUUCUUUCUCUCUUCCAAUUCCAAAUCUUCUUCAAGAAAUUCAAGAAAUCUUCCAUAUAUUUCACCGAGUUGUUUAAGAAUCGAUUUCUCCGAGUCAAAAACAUCAAGAAAUUUAGCUUAAAGGUGUAAGAAGAAGUUUAUAUCAAGUUUGUUCCUCUCCAAAAUCCUAAUUAAGGUAUGUGGGGUUUGAACAAGAACACUCCUUUCAUUCUUGUGCCUAAAGAUUUAGUUUCUAUUAUUGAUUUACAUGAAUUUGCAAAGUGGGAUUGCACCCAAAUUUCUCUAUUAGUGACUUAUGAGAUUUGAGUUGAUUAUGUUUGAAAUUAUGAUAUAUUAACCAUCAUAUUUCUUAAAACGAGGAUUUAUGCCAUGAGUUGAAUAUUCUUAUUAUGAAUUGAUGAUUUUCGAAUAAUUUGAGAUAAGUGUCAUGAUUUAAGCCUUCCAUGAGAAGUUGAUUGUUGAAUACAUAUGGAUAUUGAACUUGAGAGUCAAGAAUAAGUCCUAUGAUGUUUCCUCCAAGCUUUUGAUAUUUGAAAUGAUUUGAUAAGCAAAUGUCCUUGAUGUUGAGAAAGAUUGNNNNNNNNNNNNNNNNNNNNNNNNNNNNNNNNNNNNNNNNNNNNNUAUAUAUAUAUAUAUAUAUAUAUAUAUAUUUAUAUUUUGGUCUUUAUAAUAUACCCAUGAGUUGAUAUUGAUUAAGGUGAAUUUCCUAACGCGUUCUGAGCUGAGUCUGGGAGGAGUAUUUAGCGCCGAGAGGGAAAUAUGGUAUUUCUCUGAAACUACGUGCCACCGUAGGAUUGAUGUUGAUAAUUGUGGGCCAAAGGCCGAGUAUGGGAUUGUGACUGUGAAAUUGAGGUUGUACUCCCUGGCAAGAGUACGAAGCUCUCGCCAAUGUGGGGUUCUCUUCUUAGGAGGGCAAAACGUUGGACUACAUGCGACUCACAUGGUGUAGUUUAUGUCAGUUAUAAGAAACUCCCAAGUUCAUAACUGUUUAAGUUCUUGAGUUAUCGAGUCACUCCAAUUCAUGAGUUGAAGAGUUUGAGUUGAGUCAAAUGAUUUACGAGAUUUACGAAGCAUGUGUUUUAUAGAUGAUUUAUGGAAGUAAUGUUUCAGGUAAUUCAAGCGAAGAGAGUUAUUACUGUUAGCAUGCAUGAUUUCCUUACACAUUUAUGACAUUUUUAAAAUGUUGCAUGCACCCCCACAUACUCAGUACAUUCCCAAGUACUGACUCCCAUACGCUUUUUUGCAUUAUAUUUUCUCGUGAUAUAGGUUCAGGUGCUCAGUUUUAGUAGCGACGGUGAUUUUCGAGUACCUUCACUACAUCUCUGCAGUUGGUGAGUCCUCCUGGUUCGAGGACUUUGUCUAUAUUUUGUGAUGUGGUUUUGUUGUUGUGGCUUUCAGUACUGUUGAGUCAGUUAGGGUUUGUUCGAAUGGCUCCUUGAUUUUGAUGUAUAGAGGCUUUGUCAGACUAGAGAGAGGGUAUGUACAGACAUUCAAUAUGUGUUUUGGUUUUACAGUUUAGUAUUUUCAGUAUCUCUCUUGAACCCGAUGUGGUAUGUCUUUUUCUUAUGCACGAUUAUUGUUGAAUUGAGUUCCUUGAGGUGGUGUUAGGUUCCAAGGGUUAGCUUGGGGCUACGUGUAGCCCUAAGCAUCGUGUGACGUCUCGGGAUAGGUUCUCGGGGCGUUACAAGCUUGGUAUCAGAGAGCCUAAGGUUUGGAGAGUCCUAGGGAGUCUGACAAGCCGCGUUACGUAGAGUCUUGAUCAUCGGUAUGUAGCGCGCCACAUCUAUGAGCAAGAGGCUACGAAAUAUUUUAGGAAAAGUUGUUUCCUUCUUUCAAAAGUCUAUCGGGCCUAUGACUAUUUCUUUCUGCUGUUAAUUUACGCUCUCUUGUGACAGAAAAUGCCUCCUCGUAGAUCUUGCAAAAAUAAUGAACGACCUUAACCAGUUGAUCCUUUGGGUGAGACGGUGUCCCAUGCUGAAUUCCAAACAACUUUUCAAGCACUAGCCCAGGCGGUCACCACCAAUGCUCAGACCCGUGCACAGGUCAUAGUUCUACCUCCGCAAGAGGAUAAUUCAGCAACAGCUCGGGUUCGUGACUUUAUGCGGUGAAUCCGUCAGAGUUUUAUGGGUCAAAUACAGGUGAGGACCCACAGAUGUAUCUUUAUGAGGUGAAAAAGAUCAUCCAAAUUAUGCAUGUCACGGAGGAAGAGGGUGUAGAUCUAGCUUCUUAUCGCUUGAAAGAUGUCGCUUAUGAUUGGGUGGAGAUGUGGAGGAAAAGCAGAGGGGAGAAUGAUGGUCCUUUGACUUGGCAAUUAUUCCAAGAUGCCUUCUUAGACAGAUUCUUUCCCCCGGAGCUGAGGGAAACAAAAUUAAAAGAAUUUAUGAACCUAAGACAGGGCCCUAUGAUUGUUAAAGAGUAUUGUCAUAAGUUCAACCAGUUAUCUAAGUAUGCUCCCGGUAUGAUGGCUAAUUCUAGAACUAGUAUGAGUAAGUUUUUGGUUGGUGUAUCUGAUUAUAUUGUGAAAGGGUGUAGAUCCGCUAUACUUAAUAGGGACAUAGGCCUUUCAAGACUAAUGAUUCAUGCUUAGCAGAUUGAAGCGGAUAAGGUGAAGGAGAGAGAAAGAGUAAGGGCAAAUAAGAGGUUUAGAUCUGACCAGCAGGGGUAUAGUCAGACUAGAUCUUCUGGAGGGAUUCACCCUCAGUUUCAGAGCCGUUCUUUUAUGCCACCACCUUUAUCAGCCAAUGCUCCCGCAUUCAGAAUCAGGUAGGAGUAGAGUAAUAGACAUACUAUGUCCAGGCCUAGGACAGUGUGAGUAACAGACCUCGUCCUCCCCCAUGCCCGAAGUGAGGUAGGGACCAUCCCGGUGAGUGCUUUGUCGAUCGGAGAGGUUGUUUUGGUUGCGGUAAGUUAGGCUACUAAUUCAGGGAUUUCCCUAUGCUAGACAGGGGAGUCGCGAUGUUCGUCCCCAUAGUCAGGCCAUUAGUACUCCAGCCCCUUUUGUUCGUCCUACUCCUCCUCAAGGUGCCUCGUCUAGUACUGUAGGUGGUCAACGUCAAAAUCUCUUUUACACUAUACCACCCCGCCAGGAGUAGGAGAAUUCACCAGAUGUUGUUACUGGUAUGCUCUGUGUAUUUCAUUUCGAUGUGUAUGUAUUGAUGGACCCUGGGUCAAGUCUUUCUUAUGUGACGCCGUUGGUGGCUGUGAAUUUUGAAAUCAGUGCUGAAAAGAUUCUUGAGACUUUUCUAGUUUCUACCCCAGUAGGUGAGUCUGUUGUCGCUAAGAAAGUGUAUAAGAAGUGUCCUAUCACUGUCCUUAAUAGAGUCAUGUUUGCAGACUUGAUUGAGCUGAACAUGGUCGAUUUUGACGUUAUUCUGGGUAUGGAUUGGCUUCAUUCUUGUUAUGCGUCUAUUGACUGUCGUACUCGUGUAUUCAAGUUCCAGUUUCGCAGUGAGCCAGUUUUUGAGUGGUCCGGAAAUUCCGCAUCCCCCAGGAGUCACUUUAUAUCUUAUCUUAAAGCCAAGAAAUUGAUAUCCAGGGGUUGUAUCUAUCAUUUGGUUCGAGUUAAAGACACUAAGUCCGAGACUCCGACUAUUCUGUCUAUUAGUGUUGUCAAUGAGUUUCUUGAUGUUUUUCCGGAAGAUCUCCCGGGGUACCUCCUGUUUCUUGAUGUUGAUGGCAUUUCCCAAUGUAUUGAAGAUUCCAUAUGGGUUGUUGAAUCCUAUGUUGCUUGAACUCUUAAAAAAUAUCAACAGAUGCAUUUCGGAUUGUUCAAAAUAGCAUAUUUAUUUGAAAAGUUGUCACGUGUGCAACAUCAAAAGCGAAGAGUAUGCAAAACUUAGGUUGAAGGAAAAUUGAACUGUAAUGAGGCAUGUUACAAGAAUGGAAUUGAUAAUAAUCAAAUUUCCAAACAAUGUAAUAAACAGUAUAGAAGAGAUCUAACAUCGGCAAGAUUCUGGAUAAGAAAAAGUACGCUCUUACUAAAACAUGUUCAACAAAAGUACGAAUACAAAUGAGACAUACAGUAGGCAUACUUCUGAACCAAAAAGGUAGUAGUGUACUAAUGGGGUGUAGCAGCUGUUUGUUGCCGGAAAAGUUGAAUUUUUUGAAGACUUAUUUGGUUAUGUGUAAAGUGCAAUAAAAAUUCGAGGCUACGCUCCUGGGGCAAACAAGAAAGUGAUUCCUCAAGUUUAUGAAGAAUGUAAAUUGUUCAACAUUGCGAAAACUUGGGUUACAACCUCAUGUUACAAACAAUUAGCAAUUACAACUGCAGUUGAGUGACUUAUAAUCAUUUAAGACCUUUUUAACGCAGAUCUGUAAUAACCGUUUAUCUUUAAUACCUUGUUUAGCAUAGAAAUUGGUGUUCUCUUCUUUUACGGUUUAAAGAAUGAAAUAUUUAUUUGAACAAACAAAAGUAAAUGAAAUCAGUGUAUCUAAAACAUCAAAGAUAGCAACAUUCUUAUUAAUUUCAAACUGUUAGAACACAAUAUUGCAAGGUCGAUGCCCAACACUUUUUUCUUCUCUCGAAAGAGGAUAUAAUACUAUAGUGAGUAGAAUUUCUCUCAUGAACCCAAAACCCAAUAGUAAUUAGAUACUCUUGAUAGUUGUCGAUAUAACUCUAAUUAUCAAGUACACUAUAGAGAAUAACAGAGAAAACAAAAUGACUUGAAUAAAGAGGGUAAGAAAGAGAUUCUGCAGAUGAAGAAUUAGGAAGGAUGAUUGACUGAAUAGGCAAAGAUUAUAAUAUUAUGUAAACGCAAGAGUCCGAGCAAUGCAGUAAAUAACAUCUUUCAGCACCAGUGAGCUAUCUUUUUUUCUUACAUUCCUUUUAAUAAGAACCAUCGACAUCUCCCUAAUAUUUUCCAGCUUCAACACCUACAGUGCUCCCAAACGUUUUGAUUCUUUUAUCCCGUCGNNNNNNNNNNNNNNNNNNNNNNNNNNNNNNNNNNNNNNNNNNNNNNNNNNNNNNNNNNNNNNNNNNNNNNNNNNNNNNNNNNNNNNNNNNNNNNNNNNNNNNNNNNNNNNNNNNNNNNNNNNNNNNNNNNNNNNNNNNNNNNNNNNNNNNNNNNNNNNNNNNNNNNNNNNNNNNNNNNNNNNNNNNNNNNNNNNNNNNNNNNNNNNNNNNNNNNNNNNNNNNNNNNNNNNNNNNNNNNNNNNNNNNNNNNNNNNNNNNNNNNNNNNNNNNNNNNNNNNNNNNNNNNNNNNNNNNNNNNNNNNNNNNNNNNNNNNNGUGUAGUAAAGUAUAAUACUGAUAAACAACUUGCUUAAAAAUAUAAGGAUUUUUCUAAAAUUUGUCAUGUUUCAGUUGUUGUUUAAUGAUAUAGGAAAUAGAUUUGUCGUCAAGUUUUGGUUGGAUCGUUCAUCCUCUACUUCACCAACCAUAUUUUCUUUAAAUAAUGAGACAAUUGUAAUGCAUGAUGAAAUUGUUUUCCCACCAUAUUAAUUCUAAGAAUUAUUAACCCAAAGUCCACUGUUUUACAUCGACAGAAACAAACCUAAAAAUGAAUUUACUUGGUUCAGACUAACCAUGUUAGCCACUUAAGGAAUAAAUUUUAUAAAGAUCAUAAGGAAAAAAGCAGCAGAGAAGCAUAUAACAUUAAGAAACAUAAAAGAUUCAUACCCAGUUCAACUAUUUAAAAAAAAAAAUUUUGAUGAUUUCAGAAUUUGUAUCACAAUUGAAUUUUGAAAUACACAGGAACAUUUAUAUAUUAAAUAAGGAACACAUACACGUAUGAACUUUAAAAUUUGGAUAAUUCAGGGGAACUUACAAUUCAAAUUCAGGGGAGAAAGAACUGGACUCGCUUUAACUGUCAAAGUGGAUAGAAGGAAUACCUUUCCAUUUUGACAGAGAAAUAUAUCACAAAGCACUUUGAUAGCCGACCAGAGUAACAACUUUGAUAUUGUAGAACCAAUAAUUGCAAAAUGUGUGACGCGGAAAACCUUUAACAAAAGCCAAAGUUUGUAUAUAAUUUAAUUGUUAAUUUUUCUAGAGAGAAUGAAAUUUG
RNAcentral lists this long non-coding RNA (9110 nucleotides) under Capsicum annuum. RNAcentral describes it as "long non-coding RNA (CANN_LNC018033)". The record is from RNAcentral. Lineage: Eukaryota; Viridiplantae; Streptophyta; Magnoliopsida; Solanales; Solanaceae.